CAAUAGCGUAUAUUAAAGUUGUUGCAGUUAAAAAGCUCGUAGUUGGAUUUCUGGUUGAAGCGACCGGUCGGGCGUUGAUUCGUCUGCACUGGAGUCGGUUUUGGCCAUCCUCUAGGAAAGUGCGUCUGGUAUUAAGUUAUCGGGCGUAUGAUCCUGGUCUUUUACUGUGAAAAAAUUAGAGUGUUUAAAGCAGGCCUUCGCCUUGAAUACAUUAGCAUGGAAUAAUAAGACAGGACUUUGGUCUAUUUUGUUGGUUUGCAGACCGAAGUAAUGAUUAAUAGGGAUAGUUGGGGGUAUUUAUAUUCCGAUGUCAGAGGUGAAAUUCUUAGAUUUUCGGAAGAUAAACUUAUGCGAAAGCAUUUACCAAGGAUGUUUUCAUUAA
Molecule: ribosomal RNA, 382 nt
Filed under: uncultured eukaryote
Lineage: Eukaryota
Description: partial 18S ribosomal RNA
Rfam family: Eukaryotic small subunit ribosomal RNA
Source: RNAcentral